UACAUAGGGUGCAAGCGUUGUCCGGAAUUAUUGGGCGUAAAGAGCUCGUAGGUCGUUUGUCGCGUCGAUUGUGAAAAUCUGAGGCUCAACCUCAGACCUGCAGUCGAUACGGGCAAACUAGAGUGUGGUAGGGGAGACUGGAAUUCCUGGUGUAGCGGUGGAAUGCGCAGAUAUCAGGAGGAACACCAAUGGCGAAGGCAGGUCUCUGGGCCAUAACUGACACUGAGGAGCGAAAGUGCGGGGAGCGAACAGGAUUAGAUACCCUGGUAGUCCGCACCGUAAACGGUGGGCACUAGUUGUGGGAACCUUCCACGGUUUCCGCGACGCAGCAAACGCAUUAAGUGCCCCGCCUGGGGAGUACGAUCGCAAGAUUA
RNAcentral lists this ribosomal RNA (374 nucleotides) under uncultured prokaryote. Its description in RNAcentral is "bacterial SSU rRNA". It matches the Rfam family "Bacterial small subunit ribosomal RNA", at positions 524 to 896 of the family's 1533-position model. The record is from RNAcentral.